Molecule: ribosomal RNA, 1941 nt
Filed under: Triticum aestivum (bread wheat)
Lineage: Eukaryota; Viridiplantae; Streptophyta; Magnoliopsida; Poales; Poaceae
Description: partial small subunit ribosomal RNA
Source: RNAcentral
AUGGUCGACGACGCCGAGGCUGCUGCCGCCGCCGCCGCGUUGGCCUGGCCAUCGAGAGGGUAUGAUCUAUUAAUCCCUCGUUUACUCGUACUUGUGCUAGCCGUAUAUGUGCUGCUUAUAGAUGGUUCGCUUCUAUGUUCUGUACAUGCUAAGAAAGAUAUUGGGCAGCUCCCAGCCCCCAGUCCUCACACGCAAUCCUCCUCUCUCAUCCGGCCUCUCACGCUCACUGUCGACCCUCAGCCAUGGCUAGGGUUUCGGGCGCGGCGUCCCCUUCGUCACCGGCGAGGCUCUGGCGGCCUACGGUGGCUCGUCCCGCCCACGUGUGGCUCUGUCUCAUGGACGUUCCUCCCGCGCCCGACGGCCACGGGUGGUCGUGGCGACGACCUCUUCAGCGGCGUCGCCGGACUAGCUCCACGCGCGGGAAAGGCAUCUCUGCGGGUUCCCCAAGGUGAGUGCGAUGCCGAGGAGAGAUGGCGUCGAGGACAGCAUCCGAGGACAUCAUCACGCUCAACGGCUUCGCCCCCAUCAUCAUCGAGUUCUUUGGUACGCACGCGCCACCACUCGAUCACCCUUCCCCUCCACCACUCUCUUGUGUUUGAUCGAGUGAUUCGGUGGCAGGUUACGUGGCAAACAGGUGUGCGACCGGCCGGCAAUCAGCGGCGCCAUCUCUAUCCCCCGACACUAGAUAAUGGCAUGGCUAAUGGCCUGCGCGGCGCGCCAUUAAUGCCCGUGCUCCCAGGCCAGUGCGGGCCGUCGCAGCUGCUUGCUCAAGGCGGCGUGCGGACUGCCUGGCAUUAUCGAUUAGUAGAUCACUGGCUCACCGUGGUGUUCGGGCUGCUUGCCAUGCCGGCCGGAGCGCCCAUACAUGUGUUCAAGAACCUCCAGUGUGCGGCGAUUGCCACGCCGCAAUCAAGAUGGUCGCCAAGGCGUACGACAGAGAGACGACACGGCCAUGCCAUGAAGGUUGGAGAGGACAAGAAACUUGGAAUGUUUUUGUGCUUGGAUCUCGUUCGGAAGUACUACAUCAUGCAAUACCCAAGUAAGUGGCGUCACCUGAUGAGCUCCACGCGCAGAGGAGGCGUCUCCAUGGGUUCCCCGAGACUACGAUCCAUGGUGGCUGUUGAGAAAUCUUCACUUUGGAACUUGAUAAAAGAUGUAAAACCUUCGGAUCUAAGUAUAGUCCAUAGAGAUGUCCCUCCUGAAACUGUUGAUGCAAUGAAAAGGACUGUUUCAGGCAUAUUGGGUCUGCUUCCGUCUGAUAAGUACCUUGAUCAACUUGGAAUGGCAUCGAAGUACAACACAAAAGUGUUCUGCAGGCGGACUCUCAUCAGAGGCAACUACGAACGUGGCUCAUAUGUGUUGAUCCCUCCUUCUGUUCUCAGUGCUCUGCUAGGGCAUCGGCUUAUGGGCAAUGGAGUUCUCUCAGUUGAUAUAAAUGCACCGCGCAAGCUGCGUGCUUAUGCUCACUUCAGCAAGCGACACUUACUUGUGUCUGAAGAGUUACUUCAACUACCAUUGAAACAUCAGCUUGAUCAAUCAUUUCUGCUGUUCUCAGCAAAGCUUUGCAUAUUCCACAAUGCAGAAAGGUGUCAUACUCCUCCUGUUCAACCUAAGCAGCAGCACUGGAGGCGCAGCGGCGGCCUCAGAAGAGCGGUGUCAUGGCUGGGAAGCAAGCCGUUGAGUGAGAGCACGAAGAGGAAUGAGUACCAUCUAAACGCCAAGGGCGGCGACCACCAGAGUAGGACGAUGCUGCUGAAUGGCGUCCAGCUGGAGUUGGCAGGCGAUGGCUGCGUCCCGGUCCUGAACCUCGUGCCGUCCGCGUGGAUUCGACCGUGCACCUGGCCCCGACGUCAAUUGCGUUUGUGGUCCUACCGAGGUUCGAGGCCAAGGCCUGUUCUCAAGGGAAGAAGGUUCUUUUGUUCGUUUUGUGGUGUAAGGUAG